Molecule: small nucleolar RNA, 95 nt
Organism: Otolemur garnettii (small-eared galago)
Lineage: Eukaryota; Metazoa; Chordata; Mammalia; Primates; Galagidae
Gene: SNORD116
Rfam family: Small nucleolar RNA SNORD116
About the family: HBII-85 is a member of the C/D class of snoRNAs, which contain the C (UGAUGA) and D (CUGA) box motifs. HBII-85 is encoded in a tandemly repeated array with another C/D snoRNA, HBII-52, in the Prader-Willi syndrome (PWS) region of chromosome 15.
Source: Ensembl
GGAUCAAUCAUGAGUCCCCUGUUAAAACAUUCCUUGGAAAAGCUGAACAAAAUGAGUGAAACUCACUACCGCCUCGCUCGUUGGAACUGAGGUCC